This is a long non-coding RNA of Dermacentor andersoni, 581 nucleotides long. RefSeq lists it as uncharacterized. The record is from RefSeq and is a predicted model, not a curated record. NCBI's taxonomy places the organism in Eukaryota, Metazoa, Arthropoda, Arachnida, Ixodida, Ixodidae.
CCGAGAGUUAGGCGCCGAGACACGUGCCUCGGGCCUUGGGGUUCGUUUGAUUUUAGGGCCCUGCGGGGCUGGUGUCUGCAGGGCCGUCGAAGAGGGUGGAGCAGUACUGACUGCUUCCACCACGGGGGCGGGAGGAGUCACUGCGGCACCACUGCGCGUGGGCUCGGAGGACUCCGGAGGCCUCUGUGACGCUGCCCCCGCCUGCGUCACUUCGGCAUAACUUCUUCGGGGAAGCAAGGGCAGGACCGCGAAUAAGCUGGGUGAUCUCCCUUGCAGUUAACACAAUGUGGCGAAGAAGUGCAAUUCUCAGAUUGGUGUUCGUUGGAGCUGCAUUUAGCACAAGUUGCUUGUCCUCGGCAUGCAUGUGAAGCAUGUCCAAAUCUUUGGCACUUAAAACACCGUCUGGGAUUCGGGAUAUACGGUCUCACAUUGACUUUGACAUAACCUGCAUCGAGUGAAGUAGGCAUUACGCUUGUUCCGAAGGAGUUCCUCGUCGCUUAAACCAAUGAAGUCUUCUUCAGAUAUUACUCCCCUGCUUGUAUUAAGUGUUCUGUGGGCUGAAACAGUAACUGUCGCGUCGC